CAGCCGCCACGGGAAUACGAAGGGGGCUAGCGUUGCUCGGAAUGACUGGGCGUAAAGGGCGCGUAGGCGGCGAUCAAAGUCAGGCGUGAAAUUCCUGGGCUCAACCUGGGGGCUGCGCUUGAUACUUGGUUGCUUGAGUGGGGAAGAGGGUCGUGGAAUUCCCAGUGUAGAGGUGAAAUUCGUAGAUAUUGGGAAGAACACCGGUGGCGAAGGCGGCGACCUGGUCCUUGACUGACGCUGAGGCGCGAAAGCGUGGGGAGCAAACAGGAUUAGAUACCCCGGUAGUCCUGUCUCUUAUACA
RNAcentral lists this ribosomal RNA (301 nucleotides) under uncultured bacterium. RNAcentral describes it as "partial 16S ribosomal RNA". It matches the Rfam family "Bacterial small subunit ribosomal RNA", at positions 509 to 809 of the family's 1533-position model. The record is from RNAcentral.